AUAAUAAUAAUAAUAAUGUUUAUUCAACAUAAAUAAACAUGGUGAGUUACAGAGGUUUUUAAUUCUAAAAUUAACUACCUGUGCGUAACUAUAAAUUAACAUUUUCUCUUAUUUUUAACCUGUGGUUGUACACAACUAAACUUAUUUUCUAAUCAACCCUGAUAUGGAACAACACAAGACAAAUACACAUCAAAAUAUGUCUUAUCUGGUAAUAUAUGUCUAAUCGGGUUAUAUAUGUCUAAUCGGGUUAUAUAUGUCUAAUCGGGUUAUAUAUGUCUAAUCGGGUAAUAUUAUUGUCAAAUCGGGUAAUAUAUUUCAAAUCCGUUAUAUUAUCUUCAACUGAAAUCAAUUCACAAAUCAUAUAGUGGGUGAAAUGUCAACUCAGAUGCCCUAUUGGACCAAAAGAAUAUGAAGAAAAGGGCAGGUAUUUAGUCUUGUCAAGGUUCAAGAUCUUCCCAUGUAUCAGCUCUGUAGUGUAUGGCGGUGUCAUCUGCAAAGCUAACUAUACUGCCCUUACUUGUACAUCUGGACAAACUAUUAAUGUACACUAAAAACAGAAGCGGACCCAUGACCGUUCCCUGAGGAACGCCGUAAGUUACUAUCCUUGAAGAGCUCCUAUCUCCACCUAUAUCUACAAUCUGUUGGCGAUUCGUUAGGUAACUCUUCAGUAGAUCAAGGCUUUUGCCGCGGAAACCAGAGUUCCACAGUUUAUUUAGAAGCCUCUUAUGGCAGACAGUGUCAAAGGCUUUGGCGAGAUCCACGAAUAUGCACAAGCUUGGAAUUUUUUCAUCCAAGCAUUCGUAUAUUUUUCCAAUUAAAUCUCCUAUAGCAUCCUCCGUGG
This is a long non-coding RNA of Harmonia axyridis, 841 nucleotides long. RefSeq lists it as uncharacterized. The record is from RefSeq and is a predicted model, not a curated record. NCBI's taxonomy places the organism in Eukaryota, Metazoa, Arthropoda, Insecta, Coleoptera, Coccinellidae. The transcript is spliced from 3 exons.